UACGUAGGGGGCAAGCGUUGUCCGGAUUUAUUGGGCGUAAAGAGCGUGUAGGCGGCUAGAUAGGUCCGUUGUGAAAACUCGAGGCUCAACCUCGAGACGUCGAUGGAAACCAUCUGGCUAGAGUCCGGAAGAGGAGAGUGGAAUUCCUGGUGUAGCGGUGAAAUGCGCAGAUAUCAGGAAGAACACCCGUGGCGAAGGCAGCCAUCUGGACCGACACUGACGCUGAGGCGCGAAAGCGUGGGGAGCAAACAGG
This 253-nucleotide ribosomal RNA is filed under the name uncultured bacterium. RNAcentral describes it as "partial 16S ribosomal RNA". It matches the Rfam family "Bacterial small subunit ribosomal RNA", at positions 524 to 776 of the family's 1533-position model. The record is from RNAcentral.